Long non-coding RNA from Chlorocebus sabaeus (green monkey), 3325 nucleotides. RefSeq lists it as uncharacterized. The record is from RefSeq and is a predicted model, not a curated record. NCBI's taxonomy places the organism in Eukaryota, Metazoa, Chordata, Mammalia, Primates, Cercopithecidae.
GCAGUGUCUCUUGAUCUGAAUAUAAACCUGGAAAAAAAAAAAAAAGUUAUUCUCCCAGUUUUGCAGAUCAGGAAAUAGAGGCCCUCACAGUGAGGAGGGAGGGGGAUUCUCACCCAGGAUGGACCCACCCAGGGGUGCGGGCCGGACCACUAGGCUGUACUGCCUCAGGCCCUUUAGGAGAAAAUCCAUCCUCCCAGUCUCCCCAGGUCUCUUGCCUUUGGCCUGCUCUGGUUCCUGUUAUAGAAUGGGGGCUGCAGGUAGGCACGCCUCUGAGCUAGUCCCCCGUCCUUGGGCCGCCUCUCCUAGGCAAACUCCUAUUUAACCGGUGAAUGUAAUUAAAUUAUCGCUUCCUCUCCCGAGUCCUCUGGCUGCACCCCUGUCCUCUUCUCUGUGUUCCUGUGGAGCUCCCAAAGGGAGGGGAGAAAAGGCUCAGGGGACAUGGCUGGGACACGACUUCCAGCCUAGCCCUGUGUGGGCAGAGACCAGGGAACAGUCCGCCUAUUCUCGGCUGGACGUGAAAGGGAGGAUGGCCUUGGCUCAACCCAGGGCAAGGCAGGCUGACUAGCCUCUGGGGUUAUUUAGAUUGGCGGCCAGAGGAGGAGAAGUGGCAGGAGAGAGAAGCAAAGAUUCAGGCUGCCUAGUGUGGCCACUGCCCCGUCAACCCUAAGAUGAUCGCAGCCCCUUUCUGGCCACCGAAUGUGGGCACCCCAGACCUCUGCGGCAAGGCUGGGUGAGAGCUGUCUUUUGUGCACAGGUGCCCCUAGUCCCCCACCCCUAGUAAGCAUUCACACACAGAGGUGAACAGCCCCCUUGUGGGCCUGGAGGCGCCUAGGCCAGGUAGAGAUGACCAGAGUGGGAAGCAGAGAAUCCCCAGUGCCUAGCACAGUGACUGGCACUGAAGGAUUUGUUGGAUGAAUGAAUGAAUGAUUGCCUGACCUCAGGCCCAGGGAGCAAGGUGUGGUGUGCAGGGUGGCUCCUGGGAGGCUUCAGGGAUGGGGAGGGGACGGAGGGGGACUGGGAAAGCCACAAGAAGGCAGCCCCAUCCGAUGACUCACUUGGGAGGGAAACAGAAGGUGGGCUGUUCUGGGGAAACAUCCCCGCUGAUGCCCGGGCACCCAGGAGCUUCCAGGUACCCCCAGAUCACCCCAGUGAAGACACUCCACAAUUUCCCAGGAGGCACCACAGUGGGGCCGUGAAACCCAGGGACUUAGGAUUCAGACACUUCUGGGUACCAGUUCACCCCUCAUUAGCUGGACCAGUUGCCUCAGUUUCCCUGUCUGCACGGCCCAUGGAUAGGACCACAUGCUGCACAGGUUUGCCGGGAAGGACAUAUAAGAGGUGCCCGCUCAGCACAUCCUGUCUGCCAUUGUUACAAACAACAGCAGGGGAGAGCGGGGAGCAGAGCCUGCCAAACGUAAGGCCCUGGUCUCCCGCUCCCCUGUGCUGCUGACCUAUGGGGUGGCUUUGGACAAGGCCCAGCCUCUCUCCAGGCCUUAGUUUCCCCAUUUGUACAGUCAGGCCCUGCUAACUUGGACAGGCUUUGGCCCUUCUCCAAGCCCCACAGAGACAUCAGAGAGCACACACGGCCCUGGGACUGCCGACAGACACACAGGCACGCAUGCACAGGCACACAGACGUAGGCACAGACUCACACUCGGCCCCCACCCUGCGCCCUCCCCACUCACACUCGCUCACACUCAUGCUCACACACCACCCCGCUCCCCCAAAUCUGCUGAGCACCAACGGUUGGUGCGAGCGGGGUUGGGAACGGGAAGAAAAAAGCCCAAGACUCAGCCCAGGAAGAGGGGUGCGGUGGGGGGAGGGCUGGCGAGGGAAAUGACAGCCCGCGGUCCCCCUCGAGUCCUGGCUCAUGAAUAUUAAUGCGGCGGUAAUUAAAAUGCAGGCACGCAGCAGGAUGGAUGCGGCUGCCUCCGGAGCGCGGGGGAGCGCGGCGUCUUUGCAGGCGGGUGGAGCCCGCUCCUUGCCGGCGAAAAGCGGGGCCGGGCUCCGGGGCCUGGGUCCGGGGCGGGCGGGAAGGGGGACAUUUUUCGUGGUUCCCAGCGUCCCGUCCCGGUGUUCCCGCCCCCGCCCCGCGGCCGCCCCUACGCGCCCUAUCCCUUGCCGGGCCGCCCGCCAGGCCGCCGUUUCCCGGAGCCGGCCCCCUCCCGCCCUCGCGGCCGGCUGAUGUCAUCUGCACACAACUUUCCGCUUCCCGGCCCGUCUCGGGGCCCUGAGUCAUCGCCGCCCCCGGCCCCGACGCUGGCCUGCGGCGUCUGUUUGUGCAGAGCGAGGCCCCGCCGGCCGGGCCUGACGUCAGGCUGGCAGGGCCUGGAACGGCCCCGCGCCGCUGCCCCCUGGGGGCAGGACAACACCGCUGGGGGCCGAGGGCAGGGCUAGCCCUCGGAAUCCGGCUUCGAAGCCGGCGCCACCUUGUGCCGGCCGCCUGACCUGAGGCAACUCUGUGCUUUCAACUCUGACCUUCGGUUUCCUCAUCUGCCAGUUGGCAGACGCUCAGCGAAUCUUCCUAGACUCACGGGGCGAAUUGUACAGUUGGGUAAAUCGAGGCCCAGAGAUGGGAAAAGGACCGUCCAAGGUCGUACAGCCACCCGGAAUUACAAUCCUUUCUGCCGGGUCGCACGCUGCCUUCCACGUGUUACCUAAGAGAGCUUUCCAGCCUGUGCUGAGAAAACUGCCCCACAUCAUCUGCAGCAGGACUGGGGCGCUGGAGCCCUGGUCAGGCCACUCUGCUUCUGGCCACAGUUUUCUCAUCUCUAAAAAGGCGCAGUAACAAUAUAAUAACCGUGUGGAGUCCCCCAGGAUACAGGGUCAAAGGAGAGCACAACCAUCGCAGUUUCAAGUCCAUGGGGCAGCCCAGUGCAGGUGCAUGUGACUCAUGAAACUUCAGUGACAUCUGCUCUGUGCCAGACACCGAAGAUGCAGCAGCGAACAGCACUGACCCAACCUGCCCUCCUGUUGCCUACAGGCCAGAUGCUGUUCCAUUGUUUGCUGACUUGCAUUGUUUCGGUGAGAAGUCUGCAGUCUUUUCCAGCAUUGUUUUCCUAUGUAUAAUUGUCUCCUCCCACCCCACUCAUGCCAGCUGCUUUCCACAUUCUCUCUCUUUGAUUUUCAGUAGUCUGCCCAUGAUGUGUCUAAAUAGGACUUUCUUUGCAUUUAUUCUGGCUGGGACUCACUGAACUUUCUGAAUCUGUAGAUUAAUUUUUCUCUUUUCAAUCAACCUUGGAAUAUUUUCAGCAUAAUUUUUUUUCUGUCUUGUUCUCUCUCUUUUCUCCUUGGAAAUGCCAAUUAAAUGUAUGUUAGACUGCUU